Molecule: ribosomal RNA, 433 nt
Filed under: uncultured bacterium
Lineage: Bacteria
Description: partial 16S ribosomal RNA
Rfam family: Bacterial small subunit ribosomal RNA
Source: RNAcentral
AACGAACGCUGGCGGCAUGCCUAACACAUGCAAGUCGAACGAGACCUUCGGGUCUAGUGGCGCACGGGUGCGUAACGCGUGGGAACCUGCCCUUAGGUUCGGAAUAACUCCCCGAAAGGGGUGCUAAUACCGGAUAAUGUCUUCGGACCAAAGAUUUAUCGCCUUUGGGUGGGCCCGCGUUGGAUUAGCUAGUUGGUAGGGUAAAAGCCUACCAAGGCGACGAUCCAUAGCUGGUCUGAGAGGAUGAUCAGCCACACUGGGACUGAGGCACGGCCCAGACUCCUACGGGAGGCAGCAGUGGGGAAUAUUGGACAAUGGGCGAAAGCCUGAUCCAGCAAUGCCGCGUGAGUGAUGAAGGCCUUAGGGUUGUAAAGCUCUUUUACCCGGGAUGAUAAUGACAGUACCGGGAGAAUAAGCUCCGGCUAACUCCGUG